Molecule: ribosomal RNA, 511 nt
Filed under: uncultured bacterium
Lineage: Bacteria
Description: partial 16S ribosomal RNA
Rfam family: Bacterial small subunit ribosomal RNA
Source: RNAcentral
GACGAACGCUGGCGGCGUGCUUAACACAUGCAAGUCGAACGAAAAGAGGGAAAGAGCCUGCUCUUUCCGGAAUUGAGUGGCAAACGGGUGAGUAACACGUAAACAACCUGCCUUCAGGAUGGGGACAACAGACGGAAACGACUGCUAAUACCGAAUAAGUUCCAAGAGCCGCAUGGCCCAUGGAAGAAAAGGUGGCCUCUACCUGUAAGCUAUCGCCUGAAGAGGGGUUUGCGUCUGAUUAGCUGGUUGGAGGGGUAACGGCCCACCAAGGCGACGAUCAGUAGCCCGGCUGAGGGGAGGAACGGCCACCCUGGAACUGAGACCCGGGACCGGCCCCCUCGGGGGGCAGGAGGGGGGAAUCCUCCCGAAUGGGCGAAAGCCCGGCGGGGGAACGGCGGGGUGGUGAAGGCGGCCUUCGGGUUUGAAAACCUUGGGGACCGGGACGAAAAGGCAGGGGGCGAAAAACAAAACGCCUUGACGGUACCGGAAAAGCAAGCCCCGGCCAACUCCG